AGAAUCAACGCUGGCGGCGUGCCUAACACAUGCAAGUCGCACGAGAAAGGGGAGCAAUCCCUGAGUAAAGUGGCGCACGGGUGAGUAACACGUGAAUAAUCUACCUCCGAGUGGGGAAUAAACUGAGAGAAAUCUUAGCUAAUACCGCAUAACACUUACGAGUCAAAGCAGCAAUGCGCUUGGAGAGGAGUUCGCGGCCGAUUAGUUAGUUGGCGGGGUAAUGGCCCACCAAGACGAUGAUCGGUAUCCGGCCUGAGAGGGCGCACGGACACAUUGGAACUGAAACACGGUCCAGACUCCUACGGGAGGCAGCAGUGGGGAAUUUUGCGCAAUGGGGGAAACCCUGACGCAGCAACGCCGCGUGGAGGAUGAAGCCCCGUUGGGGUGUAAACUCCUUUCGAUCGGGAAGAUAAUGACGGUACCGAUAUAAGAGCCCGGCUAACUUCGCGCCAGCAGCCGC
RNAcentral lists this ribosomal RNA (460 nucleotides) under uncultured bacterium. Its description in RNAcentral is "SSU rRNA". It matches the Rfam family "Bacterial small subunit ribosomal RNA", at positions 26 to 518 of the family's 1533-position model. The record is from RNAcentral.